GACGAACCGUACAAACGUUAUUCGGAAUCACUGGGCUUAAAGGGUGCGUAGGCGGCCCGGAAAGUUGGGUGUGAAAUCCCUCGGCUCAACCGAGGAAUUGCGCUCAAAACUACCGGGCUUGAGGGAGACAGAGGUGAGCGGAACUACGGGUGGAGCGGUGAAAUGCGUUGAUAUCCGUAGGAACACCGGUAGCGAAAGCGGCUCACUGGGUCUUUUCUGACGCUGAGUGCACGAAAGCUAGGGGAGCGAACGGG
Molecule: ribosomal RNA, 254 nt
Filed under: uncultured bacterium
Lineage: Bacteria
Description: partial 16S ribosomal RNA
Rfam family: Bacterial small subunit ribosomal RNA
Source: RNAcentral